UAUUAGUGAUGCAGACAAUCUCUAAGAUGAGACUUAAAUCUCUCUCAUGCAUAACAGAGAUUCUCAUAUAUCUUUCUCUUAAAACUAAUAAUUUCACUCCUCAUUA
Capsicum annuum is the source of this 106-nucleotide non-coding RNA. The record is from Rfam. NCBI's taxonomy places the organism in Eukaryota, Viridiplantae, Streptophyta, Magnoliopsida, Solanales, Solanaceae.